RNA transcript from Hevea brasiliensis (rubber tree), 1926 nucleotides. It is a transcript of the gene named 3-hydroxyisobutyryl-CoA hydrolase-like protein 3, mitochondrial, with no coding region annotated. NCBI's taxonomy places the organism in Eukaryota, Viridiplantae, Streptophyta, Magnoliopsida, Malpighiales, Euphorbiaceae. The transcript has 11 exons. The record is from RefSeq and is a predicted model, not a curated record.
AGGGAAAUAUAACGCUAAUGCCAUUCAAAGCUGAGUCAUGAACCAAGCUGAUCUUGCCAUUGCCCGUGUAAUUGAAACCAAAUCUCAAGGGUAAACCGGUCCAUAGCUCCAGAAAAUAUCUCUUCCUCAAGCGCCGAAGCUUUUAUCACGGAAAUGAGAAGCUUACUCUCGUCGUCUCGCUUCCUUUCCAAGUCAACAAUUGCUUUUACUCAUCAGUCUCUGCGACUGAGUUCCCUCAGCUUCCUUUUCUAUUUUAAGUCCUCUCUGUCUCUUCGAAGCUUCGCGAUUAUGGCUACUGCCUCUGAGGAGUUCGUUAAGGGAAAUGUUUUUCCAAACGGCGUCGCUGUCAUCACUCUCGACCGCCCCAAAGCUCUCAAUGCCAUGAAUUUAGAUAUGGAUUUAAAGUACAAAAGUUUUCUCGAUGAAUGGGAAUCGGAUCCACGGGUCAAAUGCGUUUUGGUUGAAGGCAGCUCGUCUCGUGCAUUCUCCGCAGGAAUGGAUAUUAAAGGGGUUGUUGCUGAAAUUCAAAAGGACAAAAAUACGCCUCUUGUGCAGAAGGUAUUCACAGCAGAAUAUUCUCUAAUAUGCAAAAUUUCUUCGUACAAGAAACCAUAUGUAUCCUUGAUGGAUGGCAUAACAAUGGGUUUCGGAGUUGGCCUAUCUGGUCAUGGUUGCUACCGGAUUGUAACAGAGAGAACUGUUCUUGCUAUGCCGGAAAACGGAAUUGGCUUGUUCCCAGACGUUGGUUUUUCAUAUAUAGCUGCACGUAGUCCAGGAGAAGGAUCAGUUGGUGCUUAUCUUGGAUUGACUGGCAAGAGGAUCUCUACACCCUCUGAUGCACUAUUUGUAGGUCUUGGAACACACUAUGUGCCAUCUGGAAAUCUAGUCUCACUGAAGGAGGCCCUUUUGGCAACUAACUUUUCUGAGGAACCACAUGAUGACAUCAAAGUACUUUUGGCAAAGUACAGCAAUGAACCAGAGUCUGAGGCUGAGUUAAAGUUGCUUUUGCCUCGAAUUAUUUCAACAUUUGGGGCAAGUAAGUCGGUAAAGGAGAUGAUUGAAGAGCUGAAAAAGCAUCAGCAGAGUGCUGAUGGCAAAGUGAUGCAGUGGGCUAAUGAUGCGCUUCAAGGUCUGGGAAAGGGUGCUCCUUUUUCUCUUUGCUUGACACAUAAGUAUUUUUCCAAAGUUGCAUCCGCCUAUGGAAAACCCAACAAUGAACUAUCAACUCUAAAUGGUGUGAUGAAAACAGAGUAUCGCAUUGCCCUAAGGUCGUCUCUACGAAAUGAUUUCACUGAAGGGGUUAGGGCAGUCUUGGUGGACAAGGAUCAGGUACUUUCAGUUGCUGGUCUGCCAAGCCACUUCACUGAGAAUCUUCUAUACUGGUUGCCGCGUCUAGUUUAGGCUUCUUUUACAUCUAACACUUCUUCAAUAACAUCAAGCUUCACAACCGGAAGUUGUUGGACUUGAGCUUCAAUGGUAGAAGUACCAUCAAAUCCGUCAAACGAAUACAAGUUAGAAGCAUUAAAGAUGAGCUAAUUUGCAAAUCAGGUGGCAACUCAAUCAGAACCCAAGGUGGAAUCCCCCAAGCUUGGAAGAAGUUGAUCAAAAUGAAGUGGAUUCUCUCUUCAAACCACUGAGCCCAGAAGUUGAGUUGAGGGCGUGAGUUCAUCUGAAAUUAUCGUGUCUUGAUUCACUUAAAUGACAAGAGCAUUGGAUUCGGAGACUGUAGAGAUGCAGUUGCUGCUACAUUGUAAUUGAAUCUUUUAUACUUCAAAUAUCGUCUGAUGCAAUAAUGUGGUUAAUCUUGUGCUUACGGACUGGCUGUUUUGACAAGGGUUGUAUCACAUGUGCUUGUAGCUCUUCUAUUACUAGUCCAUGAUUGACGUGUUUGAUUUUGGUUUUAUAAGUUCCAUCAGUUGAGCGAAA